This 322-nucleotide RNase P RNA is filed under the name uncultured Eubacterium sp. Its description in RNAcentral is "Bacterial RNase P class A". It matches the Rfam family "Bacterial RNase P class A". From Rfam's summary of the family: Ribonuclease P (RNase P) is a ubiquitous endoribonuclease, found in archaea, bacteria and eukarya as well as chloroplasts and mitochondria. The record is from RNAcentral. Lineage: Bacteria; Bacillati; Bacillota; Clostridia; Eubacteriales; Eubacteriaceae.
AGUCGGUGAGGUAAUUGCGUACAGCUUGCUGUAUGAGGAAAGUCCGAGCAGCGCAGAGCAGGAUAACGGCUAACGGCCGCCGAGAGCAAUCUCCGGGACAGUGCAACAGAAAUAAACCGCCUUAACAGGCAAGGGUGGAAAGGCGAGGUAAGAGCUCACCGAGGGAGUGGUAACAUUCCCUGCCAUGUAAACCCUAUCCGCUGCAACAUCGACUAAGGGGUUGUUUGCUCGACACAUAACCUUGAAGGAUGGCUUGAGCGCAGGAGUAAUUCUGCGUCGAGAUAGAUAAUUACCGUAUACAGAACUCGGCUUAUUGCCGGCU